This is a long non-coding RNA of Callorhinus ursinus (northern fur seal), 342 nucleotides long. RefSeq lists it as uncharacterized. Lineage: Eukaryota; Metazoa; Chordata; Mammalia; Carnivora; Otariidae. The record is from RefSeq and is a predicted model, not a curated record.
GGAUGCCCCGGGGGUGGGUGACAUUUUCUGAGAGGCAGCCUUGGGCUCAGAACGGAGCCCGGGGCAGGGAUAGAUGGCGCUCUGGGAGAGGAGUGUGUGGUACGAGGAGCAAAGAGGCCCAGGAGGAAGCGGGGCCCAGCGAGAUGGUUUGUCCACCUGUCUGCUCCCCCUGGCCAAGGAGUCAAAGCACCACAAGUCUCAAGCCAGGCCAGAAAUUAGGUGGUGGCCAGCAUGGAGCCCACAGUGACCCAAAGGGAACCAGACAAGGCGGACGCCAUGAUGGGCGGCGUGGAGGCCGGGCGGGCCACCUCGGACACGGUCCGGCGCAGCUUCACUUGGGGC